RNAcentral lists this transfer RNA (73 nucleotides) under Camelus ferus (Wild Bactrian camel). It matches the Rfam family "tRNA". Rfam says of the family: Transfer RNA (tRNA) molecules are approximately 80 nucleotides in length. Their secondary structure includes four short double-helical elements and three loops (D, anti-codon, and T loops). Lineage: Eukaryota; Metazoa; Chordata; Mammalia; Artiodactyla; Camelidae. The record is from Rfam by way of RNAcentral.
GAGGGUAUAGCUCAAGCAGUAGAGUGCAUGCUUAGCAUGCAUGAGGUCCUGGGUUCAAUCCCCAGUACCUCCA